Molecule: ribosomal RNA, 496 nt
Filed under: uncultured bacterium
Lineage: Bacteria
Description: partial 16S ribosomal RNA
Rfam family: Bacterial small subunit ribosomal RNA
Source: RNAcentral
GACGAACGCUGGCGGCGUGCCUAAUACAUGCAAGUUGAGCGCUGAAGGUUGGUACUUGUACCAACUGGAUGAGCAGCGAACGGGUGAGUAACGCGUGGGGAAUCUGCCUUUGAGCGGGGGGCAACAUUUGGAAACGAAUGCUAAUACCGCAUAAAAACUUUAAACACAAGUUUUAAGUUUGAAAGAUGCAAUUGCAUCACUCAAAGAUGAUCCCGCGUUGUAUUAGCUAGUUGGUGAGGUAAAGGCUCACCAAGGCGAUGAUACAUAGCCGACCUGAGAGGGUGAUGGGCCAAAUUGGGAAUGGGAAACGGCCCAAACCCCUAGGGGAGGAAGCAGGAGGGAAUCUUCGGCAAUGGAAGAAAGUCUGACCGAGAAACGCCGGGGGAGUGAAGAAGGUUUUCGGAUCUAAAAACUCUGUUGGUAGGGAAGAACGGUGGUGAGAGGGGAAAGCUCAUCAAGGGACGGUAACUACCCAAAAAGGGACGGCUAAAUACGU